UCAACAAAAAUACAAUCUAGGUCUUCUAAACAUAUUUUAACAAUAAAACCUCACCACAAACUAUUUAUAAUCAUACCUGAGAUCUCAAAAUAUGUGAACAAGUCUUUGACCUCCAAAUUCCUAUUCUUUCUUCAAACUUCGUCUUUUAACUCUUCGAGACUCCAUUCAAACUUCACGAUAGUCGCUAACCAAAAAAAAUCUUAACAAUCUCCCCCUUUGGCGAUUUCGUGACAAAAUAUAAAAUCAUUACAAUACUCAUUCACAACUAAAAGAAAAAGAAGAAGAUUAUCGCAAUCACAAAACGACAAUCUUCUGUAUGAUCGAUCCAAUAAAAACAAAAAUACAUCUUUCACAUUCUAAUACAAACUCUAUGACUUAAGACAUGACAUGGAGU
This 394-nucleotide long non-coding RNA is filed under the name Ananas comosus (pineapple). RNAcentral's name for it is "long non-coding RNA (ACOM_LNC003537)". Lineage: Eukaryota; Viridiplantae; Streptophyta; Magnoliopsida; Poales; Bromeliaceae. The record is from RNAcentral.